Nasonia vitripennis (jewel wasp) is the source of this 990-nucleotide long non-coding RNA. RefSeq lists it as uncharacterized. The transcript has 2 exons. Lineage: Eukaryota; Metazoa; Arthropoda; Insecta; Hymenoptera; Pteromalidae. The record is from RefSeq and is a predicted model, not a curated record.
GACUGACGUAUACGACGCGUCUCCUCUCUCUCUCUCUCGCGAUAUUUCGUUCUUGCGCUCGUAAAAAUCGUUACAUUGGCAUUCGUCAGCGGGUCGACGCUUUCUUUGAAUUUUUCGAAUUAUUAUUGUCACAUCGCGAGGGCUUUAUCGAAUUUGACGAGUCAAUCGUCCGGCUUUCUUGUCGGCUCAGAUAGAUCGCUUUUAAAUUUCGCGCCUUUUUAUCUAACCUCGAAAUCUCCCCGCGAUAAAUUCACUCUCGCAUAACAUAACCUCGAUCUACCUCACACACGCACACACAGUUCUAGGUAGUAGUCUCUCCGAGAGAGAGAGAGCAAUUACAGCCUCGCGCCCCGUUAUCAAGACCUCGUGUGCGCGCGAUUGCGGGAUUGUAAAAGAGCCGACAAUCACAAUAAAAGGAUAAUAAAAAGCUCGCCUUCUCUCUCACGGAGUAGGCCUGAUGGUAAAAGAAGCAACAACAAAUUGAAUGCGUUCGCUAAUUUUGCCCCUCGCUCGCGCGAAAAAGGAAUAACGUCUUCUUCGAGGAGGUGAUUAGCGCGCAUUAAAACGCGAUUAUUGCGUACUGCGCGACUCGCGCUGCCGUUGCUGUCAUUAGCGAUUUUCAACGAGGAGGACGUUUUUUCGUGCCUUUCCGCGAAUCAAUUAUGACACGGCCGGUAUAAUACGUGCUGGCAUCUUUGCGCGCGAGAGUCCGGUGAUUGUGUGUGCAUGUGCGCGAGAGACAGAGAGAGAAAAAGACCAACCGUGGCGUGCAUUACGAGUAUUUUAUGGCCCUUGGGCUGCACACACGAAAACGACGAGGUGAGCACCGAGCUGCAGAGCGUAGUCCCAGUGCUUGAACUGUCUCGGAGAUUUGGAACGUCGAUGGAAGAAACACCCCAGAGCCCACAGCAUCGCCUACAUCGUUUCAGGAUCGACAAAACGGCAACCGGUCGGCUACACGCAAUCGGUUUUGGUACCAGUCUCCACAGG